RNAcentral lists this ribosomal RNA (274 nucleotides) under uncultured bacterium. Its description in RNAcentral is "partial 16S ribosomal RNA". It matches the Rfam family "Archaeal small subunit ribosomal RNA", at positions 473 to 747 of the family's 1478-position model. The record is from RNAcentral.
AAACCAGCACCUCAAGUGGUCAGGAUGAUUAUUGGGCCUAAAGCAUCCGUAGCCGGCUCUGUAAGUUUUCGGUUAAAUCUGUACGCUCAACGUACAGGCUGCCGGGAAUACUGCAGAGCUAGGGAGUGGGAGAGGUAGACGGUACUCGGGAGGAAGGGGUAAAAUCCUUUGAUCUUUCGAUGACCACCUGUGGCGAAGGCGGUCUACCAGAACACGUUCGACGGUGAGGGAUGAAAGCUGGGGGAGCAAACCGGAUUAGAAACCCCAGUAGUCC